CGAAGGGUGCAAGCGUUACUCGGAAUUACUGGGCGUAAAGCGUGCGUAGGCGGUUUGUUAAGUCUGUCGUGAAAGCCCCGGGCUCAACCUGGGAAUGGCGAUGGAUACUGGCGAGCUAGAGUACGGUAGAGGAGAGUGGAAUUCCCGGUGUAGCAGUGAAAUGCGUAGAGAUCGGGAGGAACAUCAGUUGCGAAGGCGGCUCUCUGGACCAGUACUGACGCUGAGGCACGAAAGCGUGGGGAGCAAACAGGAUUAGAUACCCUGGUAGUCCACGCCCUAAACGAUGCGAACUGGACGUUGGGAGCAAUUAGGCUCUCAGUGUCGAAGCUAACGCGUUAAGUUCGCCGCCUGGGGAGUACGGUCGCAAGACUG
RNAcentral lists this ribosomal RNA (372 nucleotides) under uncultured organism. Its description in RNAcentral is "bacterial SSU rRNA". It matches the Rfam family "Bacterial small subunit ribosomal RNA", at positions 526 to 896 of the family's 1533-position model. The record is from RNAcentral.